CAGGCCUAACACAUGCAAGUCGCACGAGAAAUCUUCUGCUUGCAGGAGAGAGUAAAGUGGCGCACGGGUGAGUAACGCGUGGGUAAUCUCCCUUCGAAUCGGGGAUAACAUUGCGAAAGCGAUGCUAAUACCGGAUAAUAUCAUUGGAAUUUCGGUUCUUUUGAUCAAAGGUGGCCUCUAGAUCUAAGCUACUGUUUGAAGUUGAGCCCGCGUACCAUUAGCUGGUUGGUAGGGUAAUGGCCUACCAAGGCUACGAUGGUUAGCUGGUCUGAGAGGAUGAUCAGCCACACUGGAACUGACACACGGUCCAGACUCCUACGGGAGGCAGCAGUGAGGAAUUUUGCCCAAUGGGGGAAACCCUGAGGCAGCAACGCCGCGUGAGUGAUGAAGGCCUUCGGGUCGUAAAGCUCUGUCAAGUGGGAAGAACCUGCAAAAUGCAAAUACCAUUUUGCACUGACGGUACCACUGAAGGAAGCACCGGCUAACUCCGUGCCAGCAGCCGCGGUAAU
This 509-nucleotide ribosomal RNA is filed under the name uncultured bacterium. Its description in RNAcentral is "bacterial SSU rRNA". It matches the Rfam family "Bacterial small subunit ribosomal RNA", at positions 43 to 524 of the family's 1533-position model. The record is from RNAcentral.